UCUAAUGGAAAUGACUUCGUUCAGCUGGUGAACAUUUUGGAAGAUUCCAGAAAAACAUGAACAAGUGUUUGAGUGCUCUUAAGGGGAUUGUCUAAUAUCUUGGCUCCUGACUCAUCCUUAGAAGUCUUCCAGCCACCUUGUACCCAUUUCAAGCCCAAGGGCUCUUUAACGUAAAUGAGUUACUGAGCAGAGUGUUGCUGGAGACGGCCACUGGAGAGGCUGAGUCAAAUCAAUCUCCUCACCUGAGGACUUCCUAAGACCAGCACACUGAAGGACCAGCAGCAACAACAAUAAUGCUAAUGCUCCCUUAUGGACAAGACUGCAAUUCUCUGCCUGCUGAAGCUCAGCUAUGACCACGUGACUUGCCUUGGCCAAUGAAAGAGGAAGAGUAUGUAACACUGCUGAACGGAAGCAAGUGGCCCCUGCCCCUGCUGCAGAAAUUCUAGACAUGUGUGCCAUGCUGGAGCAAGGAGACAGGGAGUCCUGGAGAAAGGAGACAUGGAACAGAGCUCCCAGCCCAGUCAAUAUGUAACAUGAGUGAGAAAUAAAUAACA
RNAcentral lists this long non-coding RNA (554 nucleotides) under Pan troglodytes (chimpanzee). RNAcentral describes it as "lincRNA". Lineage: Eukaryota; Metazoa; Chordata; Mammalia; Primates; Hominidae. The record is from RNAcentral.